RNAcentral lists this ribosomal RNA (253 nucleotides) under uncultured bacterium. RNAcentral's name for it is "partial 16S ribosomal RNA". It matches the Rfam family "Bacterial small subunit ribosomal RNA", at positions 524 to 776 of the family's 1533-position model. The record is from RNAcentral.
UACGUAGGGGGCUAGCGUUGUCCGGAAUGAUUGGGCGUAAAGAGCGUGUAGGCGGUUCGGCAAGUCCGCUGUGAAAGUCGGGGGCUCAACCCUCGAAUGCCGGUGGAUACUGUCGGGCUAGAGUGCGGAAGAGGCGAGUGGAAUUCCUGGUGUAGCGGUGAAAUGCGCAGAUAUCAGGAGGAACACCUAUUGCGAAGGCAGCUCGCUGGGACGUAACUGACGCUGAGACGCGAAAGCGUGGGGAGCAAACAGG